Molecule: ribosomal RNA, 642 nt
Filed under: Pectobacterium carotovorum subsp. carotovorum
Lineage: Bacteria; Pseudomonadati; Pseudomonadota; Gammaproteobacteria; Enterobacterales; Pectobacteriaceae
Description: bacterial SSU rRNA
Rfam family: Bacterial small subunit ribosomal RNA
Source: RNAcentral
UGCAGUCGAGCGGUAGCACAGAGGAGCUUGCUCCUUGGGUGACGAGCGGCGGACGGGUGAGUAAUGUCUGGGAAACUGCCUGAUGGAGGGGGAUAACUACUGGAAACGGUAGCUAAUACCGCAUAACCUCGCAAGAGCAAAGAGGGGGACCUUAGGGCCUCUCGCCAUCAGAUGUGCCCAGAUGGGAUUAGCUAGUAGGUGAGGUAAUGGCUCACCUAGGCGACGAUCCCUAGCUGGUCUGAGAGGAUGACCAGCCACACUGGAACUGAGACACGGUCCAGACUCCUACGGGAGGCAGCAGUGGGGAAUAUUGCACAAUGGGCGCAAGCCUGAUGCAGCCAUGCCGCGUGUGUGAAGAAGGCCUUCGGGUUGUAAAGCACUUUCAGCGAGGAGGAAGGCGGUAAGGUUAAUAACCUUAUCGAUUGACGUUACUCGCAGAAGAAGCACCGGCUAACUCCGUGCCAGCAGCCGCGGUAAUACGGAGGGUGCAAGCGUUAAUCGGAAUGACUGGGCGUAAAGCGCACGCAGGCGGUCUGUUAAGUUGGAUGUGAAAUCCCCGGGCUUAACCUGGGAACUGCAUUCAAAACUGACAGGCUAGAGUCUUGUAGAGGGGGGUAGAAUUCCAGGUGUAGCGGUGAAAUG